This 830-nucleotide ribosomal RNA is filed under the name Cranuca inversa. RNAcentral's name for it is "12S ribosomal RNA". Lineage: Eukaryota; Metazoa; Arthropoda; Malacostraca; Decapoda; Ocypodidae. The record is from RNAcentral.
AGAAUAUUUGAUUUUGGUUUAGGUUUUAUGAGAUAUUUGAUAUUGCAUGAAAAUUAUUUUAGUGAGUAGAAAAAUGAUGAAUUUUAUAUUCAUUAGCUCUUGUUGUAAUUAAACGUAAUAAUAGGUUAGUUCUCAGCAUGUUAAAUUAUAGAAAAUGUAUGAAAAUAUGAGUUAGAAAAUAUUUUAGAUCUAGUAAAUUUUGUGCCAGCAUCUGCGGUUAUACUUAAAGUUCAAGUAAAAGUUUUAUCGGUAAAAGUUAAAUGAAUUUAAACCUGUAAUGUGUUAUAAAUGAUAAAAGGUAAAAUUAGGUUAUCAUUAUGUAAAUUGUGGAUUUAAAAUUGAAGCUAAAAAAGUUUGUUUAAAAACUAGGAUUAGAUACCCUAUUAUUCAAAUUUGAAUUUUUUAAGCCCGGUUAGUAGUAGUUAUUUACUUAAAAACUAAAAGAUUUGGCGGUAGUUUAAUCCAUUCAGAGGAAUUUGUUUUUUAAUCGAUAAACCACGAAGUAUCUUGCUUAUUCUAGAGAAGAUUAGUUUGUAUACCAUCAUUAUAAGGUAAUUUCAACAGAAAAAAUUGCUUAAAUUAAGUAAUAAAAGCUUAAGAAAAUUAGAUCAUGGUGCAGCUUAUGAAUAAGUUAAAAUGAAUUACAAUAAAUUUUUUUAGACGGAUUUACAGGGUAAGCACUGUAAUGAAGGAGGAUUUGAUUGUAUUUUAAGUUUAAUAAGCUUACAAGACAGAGGCUCUAAAUUAUGUACAUAUCGCCCGUCGCUUUCAUUUAUAAGUGAAAUAAGUCGUAACAUAGUAGAUGUACUGGAAAGUGCAUCUAGAAUUAG